Molecule: ribosomal RNA, 253 nt
Filed under: uncultured bacterium
Lineage: Bacteria
Description: partial 16S ribosomal RNA
Rfam family: Bacterial small subunit ribosomal RNA
Source: RNAcentral
UACGUAGGGUGCAAGCGUUAAUCGGAAUUACUGGGCGUAAAGCGUGCGCAGGCGGUUUUGUAAGUCUGUCGUGAAAUCCCCGGGCUCAACCUGGGAAUUGCGAUGGAGACUGCAAGGCUAGAAUCUGGCAGAGGGGGGUAGAAUUCCACGUGUAGCAGUGAAAUGCGUAGAGAUGUGGAGGAACACCGAUGGCGAAGGCAGCCCCCUGGGUCAAGAUUAACGCUCAUGCACGAAAGCGUGGGGAGCAAACAGG